RNAcentral lists this ribosomal RNA (521 nucleotides) under Bacillus sp. (in: firmicutes). RNAcentral's name for it is "bacterial SSU rRNA". It matches the Rfam family "Bacterial small subunit ribosomal RNA", at positions 84 to 590 of the family's 1533-position model. Lineage: Bacteria; Bacillati; Bacillota; Bacilli; Caryophanales; Bacillaceae. The record is from RNAcentral.
CCCUUAGGUCAGCGGCGGACGGGUGAGUAACACGUGGGUAACCUGCCUGUAAGACUGGGAUAACUCCGGGAAACCGGGGCUAAUACCGGAUGCUUGAUUGAACCGCAUGGUUCAAUCAUAAAAGGCGGCUUCGGCUGCCGUUUACAGAUGGACCCGCGGCGCAUUAGCUAGUUGGUGAGGUAAUGGCUCACCAAGGCGACGAUGCGUAGCCGACCUGAGAGGGUGAUCGGCCACACUGGGACUGAGACACGGCCCAGACUCCUACGGGAGGCAGCAGUAGGGAAUCUUCCGCAAUGGACGAAAGUCUGACGGAGCAACGCCGCGUGAGUGAUGAAGGUUUUCGGAUCGUAAAGCUCUGUUGUUAGGGAAGAACAAGUACCGUUCGAAUAGGGCGGUACCUUGACGGUACCUAACCAGAAAGCCACGGCUAACUACGUGCCAGCAGCCGCGGUAAUACGUAGGUGGCAAGCGUUGUCCGGAAUUAUUGGGCGUAAAGCGCGCGCAGGCGGUUUCUUAAGUCU